RNAcentral lists this ribosomal RNA (253 nucleotides) under uncultured bacterium. Its description in RNAcentral is "partial 16S ribosomal RNA". It matches the Rfam family "Bacterial small subunit ribosomal RNA", at positions 524 to 776 of the family's 1533-position model. The record is from RNAcentral.
UACAGAGGCCUCAAGCGUUAGGCGGAAUUACUGGGCGUAAAGCGUGCGUAGGCGGUUCGUUAAGUCCGCUGUGAAAGCCCCGGGCUCAACCUGGGAACUGCAUUUGAAACUGGCGGGCUUGAGUGUGGCAGAGGGGGGUGGAAUUCCGCGUGUAGCAGUGAAAUGCGUAGAGAUGCGGAGGAACACCGAUGGCGAAGGCAGCCCCCUGGGCCAGCACUGACGCUCAGGCACGAAAGCGUGGGGAGCAAACAGG